CCUCCCCGGGACCUCAGCAGCAAGGCUUUGGGACCCUAAGCCCACAGCUGCCAUUGAAAGGCCGCCCCCACCCCUGGGCCUGAGUCAGGGCGGGGCUCUGAACACAGAUGGGACAGAAGCCUCAGGGACACAUGAGAGGAACGGAGGAGAGCGGAAGGGGCAGGAACCCGAGCCUAAAGUGCAGGCAGAGAGGGCUGAGCCCCAAACCCGGAGGGUCCGGGGAGGAGAAGGGAUGAGGACUUCGACCCAGAGAGGCACAGGCAGAGGAGGGACAGGUCCCGAACCAGGGCUGGCGGGGAGAGGACAAGAGCUUCAGCCUGGAGAUGUGCGAGCAGAGAAAUGACAAAGGCCCCAGACAGGAGGGGCGCAGACAGAGACAGGGCAAGAACUCAAGCCAGGGGCGCAAGUGGACAGGGACAAGGACCGCAUCCUAGAGGAGCUCAGAGAGGUGACGACAAGAGACCCGAGCCUGGAAGAGAGCAAGCGGAGAGGGGACAGAAACCCAGCCUGGACGGGCACAGGCUGGGAGAGGACAAGGACCGCAGAGUGCAGGCGCACAGGCAGAGGUGACAGAGACCGGAGCGCCGAGAGGCGCAGGCAGAGCGGGGAGGGGACCGAGCGUGCCGACUCGGGUCUUGCCGCAUAGCCAGAGACCCGAAGAGCUUUGGGGAAACCUCAGCUGUGUAACUGAGAGCCCUACCAAGAGAUGGCAUCCCCUUGCAUCCUGAUAUGCUCCCACAGGCCCUGUGGUCGGUUUCUUUGCAUUUUAUCUGAUCGUCCUGCCUUUGCUGAAACUAUAUCAAUGGGAUAGUGAGGUAGUGGCACUGUCAUCUCUUUCCUGGUGACAUUCGCCCACGUCCCUCCUCCAUGGAGUCACCAUCUGCCUGUAGUGAGAGACUUGGCCUGCUCCUGCUUUGACAUGACUAAAGCUUCUCAGACAUC
Non-coding RNA from Peromyscus maniculatus bairdii (prairie deer mouse), 942 nucleotides. The record is from RefSeq and is a predicted model, not a curated record. Lineage: Eukaryota; Metazoa; Chordata; Mammalia; Rodentia; Cricetidae.